Gossypium raimondii (Peruvian cotton) is the source of this 868-nucleotide long non-coding RNA. RefSeq lists it as uncharacterized. NCBI's taxonomy places the organism in Eukaryota, Viridiplantae, Streptophyta, Magnoliopsida, Malvales, Malvaceae. The record is from RefSeq and is a predicted model, not a curated record. The transcript is spliced from 2 exons.
UUAUUUAAUAAGAAUUUAGGUCACACAUAUAUUUAUUAAUUUAUAAUUAAAAUUAAUUUUUAAAAAAUAUUUUAAAUCUAAUUUAUAUGGGUCUCACAUAUUUUUUAUUAUACUUAAUUUCACUAUUUUUAUACUACUAUAAUUUGUUUUUACUUUCUUACCCCAUUAUAAAUUUAUAACUAUAUAAUACAUUAACUAUUUUUUUAUUCUUUCUUACGCAGACACUCAUAUCCCCUUUAUUUUCUUCCCCAUUUACCCCUUUUUUCCCUUCUCAUUUACCGUCCUUACCUUUGCCGCUGUAUUUCAUUCUCUGCAAAAAAACCCCAGCAUCAUCAUCUUCAUAUAAGCGAAUCGGCUCCAAAGAAGACAGGCCAAAGUAAAGCCCGGGAGUGUCCUUUUUUGACACGCUUCAAGGUGUGUCCGGUACGUAUCCGGCCGUGUCGGCGGCGUGUCCGUGUCGGACACCAGUACGACACUGGUACGAGGGGAUUUUCCCCGUGUCGGUGCUUCCUAGGUUGACCAUUUUCUGAUCAGGAAAAAAGAAGAGGGUUUUGUGCAAUGGGAAGCAAUCAGUUUCUUGGGGCUGAUAUCAUCAAUAACCCCAUUUGGAGGAAAAAUGGAGCACUGAUGCUUCAACAACAUCACAAUUUUCUCAAGAAAGUAUUUUUACUCGCAGACUGCUAAGUUGAAUGAUAAUUAUAAGCACAAACAGUUAAAUCGGUGGCAGCUGGUUGUUUAAAAUUUGUGUGCAAAGCUGCUGAACUAGCAAUAAUGAAAACAAGCAGGUGAUUUGACCGCUCAACAAUCGUGGGAUUUAGUCUAAUUUGAGAUUUUUUUAUCAAAAUAUUACAAAAAAAAACCAAAAUAA